AGUCGUUCUGCCCAUUGAAUUUAAAAGGCUGCGGUAUAUUAACUGUACAAAGGUAGCAAAAUAAAUAGUUUUUUAAUUGAAAACUUGAAUGAAAGAGUUGAUAAAAUAUAAAUUGUCUCAAAUAUUUAAUUUAAAUUAAAAGUUAAAAUGCUUUUAUAAAUUUAUUAGACGAUAAGACCCUAAGAAUUUUAUAAUUUAUUUAAUUUUAAAAAUUUAAUUAAAUUAAAUUAUUUUAUUGGGAGGAUAAUUAAAUAAACUUUAAUUUAAAAAAUAUUAAAUAGAUAAAUUUUAUGAUUAAUUUAUUGAUUAUAAGAAUAAAUUACCUUAGGGAUAACAGCGUAAUAAUUUUGGAGAGUUCAUAUUGAUAAAAUUGUUUGCGACCUCGAUGUUGAAUUAAAAUAAAAAUUAAAUGAAGAUAUUUAAAUUUUUAGUCUGUUCGACUAUUAAAAUUUUAC
RNAcentral lists this ribosomal RNA (455 nucleotides) under Brachygastra propodealis. RNAcentral's name for it is "partial large subunit ribosomal RNA". Lineage: Eukaryota; Metazoa; Arthropoda; Insecta; Hymenoptera; Vespidae. The record is from RNAcentral.